ACAAUCGUCUGACUGUUCAUCACGAUGAAGGUCCUUUUGCUUCUAACUGUGGCGGCGGUGGCCCUGGGAGACGACCUGGUGGACGAGGACCGGGGCGACAGCGAGUACCACUUCGCCUGGCUCCACGACGGGCGGCCGGACCUACGACUGGCAGGGCGCCAACAG
This is a non-coding RNA of Penaeus vannamei (Pacific white shrimp), 165 nucleotides long. NCBI's taxonomy places the organism in Eukaryota, Metazoa, Arthropoda, Malacostraca, Decapoda, Penaeidae. The record is from RefSeq and is a predicted model, not a curated record.